AUGAUAGCAAUCGUUGAACUAGACACCAAAAAAAUUGUUCCGAAUAGGUUUAUAGACAAAAGAACAUGCCUAAUCCUCAUCGAUGACUUGAUAAAAAAUAUUGUUGAUAGUCAGUCAUAUGAUGAUGAUUUUGUGAGAAGGGUGGUACUGGUUUUUAUGGGUACAGUCUUAGCCCCACAAUCCAGCAAGUUUGUUCCUUAUCGUUAUUACAAAAUGGUGGAGGAUGUCAACGCUAUCAAGUCAUACAAUUGGAACAAUUUCACGUUGCCUGUUAUAUAUACUGGGAAAAACUUGAGCCAAUUGGUUUGGAUGCAUUUGAUCCUUUGUCUCAUGAAUACCCACUAA
This 345-nucleotide ribosomal RNA is filed under the name Triticum aestivum (bread wheat). Its description in RNAcentral is "partial small subunit ribosomal RNA". Lineage: Eukaryota; Viridiplantae; Streptophyta; Magnoliopsida; Poales; Poaceae. The record is from RNAcentral.